UCACAGACGUGUCAGACCUGCACUCCUUAGCACGCCUUGCACUGAGUGCUCCCCGUGAGGGGUAAUUACAGGGCAGGGCAGGAGUCUCAUCAGGACGCUGUGGGGACUGCCACUCACCCCCUCUGCAUGGGGGGGCCGAGGAGACCACCUCAGGCUCAGGCUGGAUGCCGUCCUUCGCUUUACAUCAUUGUCCAUGAUGGCGCUGUGUGUAGGUCAGAGACUGCAAGCCGUCUGAGACCCAACUCACGAUAAGCUCACUGCGGAAAAGAAAGGGUCAGCGCCAACAGACUGCGGCGGUCCUGCGAUGUAGGAGAAGCGGCGGCGGAGCGUAUUACGGCACGGCUCAGCAUGGACGCCACAGAAGCUGCACCCAGCGCCGGGCACCGCUAAGCAGCGACGCCGCUCCGCAGCGUUCCGACCUGCGUAUCUGACUUCAGCCCGUACUUCCCGCCUGACUUAUAUUAAAUUACUACAUUUCUAAGAACACCCUAAGAGCGCUCCU
Long non-coding RNA from Paramormyrops kingsleyae, 502 nucleotides. RefSeq lists it as uncharacterized. The record is from RefSeq and is a predicted model, not a curated record. Lineage: Eukaryota; Metazoa; Chordata; Actinopteri; Osteoglossiformes; Mormyridae.